CGUCUAUAUACGUAUAGCAUAUCAAUAAGCGGAGGAAAAGGAAACUAACUAGGAUUCCCUUAGUAACGGCGAGUGAAGCGGGAAGAGCUCAAAUUUGAAAUCUUCAAGGUUUUACCUUGACGAAUUGUAGUUUAAAGAAGUGUUUUCUGUUGGAAGUUUUCGGUAAAAGUUCUUUGGAAUAGGACAUCAUAGAGGGUGAGAAUCCCGUAUUUGACCAUUAUUUCAGCUUUGUGAUACACUUUCAAAGAGUCGGAUUGUUUGGGAAUGCAGUCCAAAAUGGGUGGUAAAUUUCAUCUAAAGCUAAAUAUUGGCGAGAGACCGAUAGCGAACAAGUACCGUGAGGGAAAGAUGAAAAGAACUUUGAAAAGAGAGUUAAACAGUACGUGAAAUUGUCAAAAGGGAAGCGUUUGACACCAGUGUUGUUUUUCUCGAAAAUCAAUUAAGAAGGCUGGAUUUUGUGUUAGUAUUGACUUUAUCAGGCUUCUGCUACUCUUUUCCUGUAACUUUUUAAUGCACUUUUCGGUUAACAAGUCAACAUCAAUUUCUUCUGUUGUAAAAGGGUCAUUCGGAAGGUGGCUUUCUUUUCGGAGAAAGUGUUAUAUAGCCCUUAUGCCUCUACAAUCGGAGAGAUUGAGGUCUGCAGCGUAGAUCCUUCGGGGUUAGAUACAUUUGUGCUAAGUUAUAGCCUUUCAUAGACAACUUGUUGACUAUGAUUCAGUCAUGUAGCUUACUCGCUGAUGCUAUUUUACCUACGCUUAGGAUGUUGACUGAUAUGUAGUCGU
This 782-nucleotide ribosomal RNA is filed under the name uncultured Neocallimastigales. Its description in RNAcentral is "partial large subunit ribosomal RNA". It matches the Rfam family "Eukaryotic large subunit ribosomal RNA", at positions 26 to 643 of the family's 3401-position model. The record is from RNAcentral. Lineage: Eukaryota; Fungi; Neocallimastigomycota; Neocallimastigomycetes; Neocallimastigales.